ACGGCAGUGGCGGAGCGCAGACUCCCCUGUCGUCCAGCGCUGUUUUUGCUCAUAUUCUACUUGCUAUAAUUAAUAAAAUUUUAAUUGGAUUAUGAUCCGUUGUGGUCACAAUUUAUGACAAUUUCUGGUGCCGUGACUCGGAUAAGGAACGGUGGGCUUUGGUCCUCCGGGGAGGCGCCCCGCGACAUUUCGCGGCCCCGCGACCAACAGCUCACUCCAACCUUACCGACGAACCUAAAUUCUAGGAUAUUGAGCAAAAAAGGACCGGUAAAAUCCCAUAAAAUUCUGUGCACGGGAGUCCGGACGAAGACGCAGGACGCAAACAGCUGUCCGAACUGCUGAGCGUGGAUGGACUCAUGCCAGUCGCAUUAAAGGCCCAGUGACGAGACCCCACUGGAAAGUAAUCAGUACUCCAGGUGACACCAAGAUAACCCUGAAAAGAUAACGUAAUGAUAAAGACUUUAUUUGAUUAUUUUGCCGCAUUACCUUUCGGUAUAAAGUGUGUAUUGCUGUUUAUAUUUGCUAUAAUUAUUUCUCUUUUUUUCUAUUAUAUAUGGAAGCGUACAAAGUGUGUUGAAGGAAAUUGCUAAACUUAUGCAACCUCACAAUAUUAAAUAUAGAAGAUAUGUUGAUGUAAAUAAUAUAUGCACUCUAGAUAUACGAAUUAGGUGGGUGUAAUGAUUUGAACUGCAAUUGUUAUCCAUUUGCUUGUUUUAGGUGUAAGGUAUGCCAGGAUAAAUGGUAGACACAUUGUGAAUGUGGAUACCCUCCAAUAGGAGUUUGCACACAGUGUUGGAAAAUCCAAAGAACUCUCACUGAGUGGAAAUUAAAACAAUUAGAGUCUAAACAAAAAAAAUUAUUCGGGAAUCCCAUGAGUGGUGGGAAAUUUUUGCCAAAGGAAUAAACCCUCGAUAUUAUUGCUACCACUCCAACGAACCAGUCCCCUUUGUAGCUGAAAUUUUGGUUAUAAAAUGCAGAAGGGAAGUACUGACCGUGUCUUACUUUGCCCCAUUAGUUAAAGCUGCAAAGUGGGAAGCCUAUAUAAACAGGCAGAAAGCCCGAAACAGCUGUUCUCCUGAAGAAUUCCCUUGCUGCCGAGAAGAUGGUACACCCCGUGGCUCGAAGCAACCGAGUCGACGGGCGAGGCAGAGGAGGAACAAACUGUGG
This is a long non-coding RNA of Strigops habroptila (Kakapo), 1167 nucleotides long. RefSeq lists it as uncharacterized. The transcript is spliced from 2 exons. The record is from RefSeq and is a predicted model, not a curated record. Lineage: Eukaryota; Metazoa; Chordata; Aves; Psittaciformes; Psittacidae.